Molecule: ribosomal RNA, 377 nt
Filed under: uncultured bacterium
Lineage: Bacteria
Description: bacterial SSU rRNA
Rfam family: Bacterial small subunit ribosomal RNA
Source: RNAcentral
GACGAACGCUGGCGGCGUGCUUAACACAUGCAAGUCGAGCGGUAAGGCCCUUUCGGGGGUACACGAGCGGCGAACGGGUGAGUAACACGUGGGUGACCUGCCCUCAGCUCUGGGAUAAGCCUGGGAAACCGGGUCUAAUACCGGAUAUGACUCCAUGACGCAUGUUGUGGGGUGGAAAGCCUUGUGCGGCUGAGGAUGGGCCCGCGGCCUAUCAGCUUGUUGGUGGGGUAAUGGCUACCAAGGCUUUGACGGGUAGCCGGCCUGAGAGGGUGUUCGGCCACACUGGGACUGAGACACGGCCCAGACUCCUACGGGAGGCAGCAGUGGGGAAUAUUGCGCAAUGGGCGUAAGCCUGACGCAGCGACGCCGCGUGGGGA